This 178-nucleotide ribosomal RNA is filed under the name uncultured bacterium. RNAcentral's name for it is "partial 16S ribosomal RNA". It matches the Rfam family "Bacterial small subunit ribosomal RNA", at positions 1322 to 1500 of the family's 1533-position model. The record is from RNAcentral.
GAAGCCGGAAUUGCUAGUAAUGGCAGGUCAGCAUACUGCCGUGAAUACGUUCCCGGGCCUUGUACACACCGCCCGUCACACCAUGAGAGUUGGGAAUACCCGAAGCCUGUGAGCUAACUAAUAGAGGCAGCAGUCGAAGGUAGAAUCAAUGAUUGGGGUGAAGUCGUAACAAGGUAAC